AGUGAACGCUGGCGGUAGGCCUAACACAUGCAAGUCGAACGGCAGCACAGUAAGAGCUUGCUCUUACGGGUGGCGAGUGGCGGACGGGUGAGGAAUACAUCGGAAUCUACUUUUUCGUGGGGGAUAACGUAGGGAAACUUACGCUAAUACCGCAUACGACCUACGGGUGAAAGCAGGGGAUCUUCGGACCUUGCGCGAUUGAAUGAGCCGAUGUCGGAUUAGCUAAUUGGCGGGGUAAAGGCCCACCAAGGCGACGAUCCGUAGCUGGUCUGAGAGGAUGAUCAGCCACACUGGAACUGAGACACGGUCCAGACUCCUACGGGAGGCAGCAGUGGGGAAUAUUGGACAAUGGGCGCAAGCCUGAUCCAGCCAUACCGCGUGGGUGAAGAAGGCCUUCGGGUUGUAAAGCCCUUUUGUUGGGAAAGAAAAGCAGCAGGUUAAUACCCCGCUGUUCUGACGGUACCCAAAGAACAAGCACCGGCUAACUUCGUG
Molecule: ribosomal RNA, 492 nt
Filed under: uncultured bacterium
Lineage: Bacteria
Description: partial 16S ribosomal RNA
Rfam family: Bacterial small subunit ribosomal RNA
Source: RNAcentral